Mus caroli (Ryukyu mouse) is the source of this 138-nucleotide non-coding RNA. The record is from RefSeq and is a predicted model, not a curated record. NCBI's taxonomy places the organism in Eukaryota, Metazoa, Chordata, Mammalia, Rodentia, Muridae.
UGGCAAUGGGCAAAGAUACACCUUGAUGGUGGUAGCAUUCUUACAUCAUUUAUCAGCAGAGCAGAUGGUAGUCUUUUGUUUAUUCUAGCUUGAUGCCUAUCCUGACAGCCAAAGCUGUUUUAUGCCUAGGACUCAUAA